GAUGAACGCUGGCGGCGUGCUUAACACAUGCAAGUCGAACGGUGAAGGCGGAGCUUGCUCUGCUGGAUCAGUGGCGAACGGGUGAGUAACACGUGAGCAAUCUGCCCCUGACUCUGGGAUAAGCGCUGGAAACGGCGUCUAAUACUGGAUACGAGCUGCGAAGGCAUCUUCAGCAGCUGGAAAGAAUUUCGGUCAGGGAUGAGCUCGCGGCCUAUCAGCUUGUUGGUGAGGUAAUGGCUCACCAAGGCGUCGACGGGUAGCCGGCCUGAGAGGGUGACCGGCCGCACUGGGACUGAGACACGGCCCAGACUCCUACGGGAGGCAGCAGUGGGGAAUAUUGCACAAUGGGCGAAAGCCUGAUGCAGCAACGCCGCGUGAGGGACGACGGCCUUCGGGUUGUAAACCUCUUUUAGCAGGGAAGAAGCGGAAGUGACGGUACCUGCAGAAAAAGCGCCGGCUAACUACGUG
This 468-nucleotide ribosomal RNA is filed under the name uncultured bacterium. RNAcentral describes it as "partial 16S ribosomal RNA". It matches the Rfam family "Bacterial small subunit ribosomal RNA", at positions 28 to 507 of the family's 1533-position model. The record is from RNAcentral.